Molecule: long non-coding RNA, 305 nt
Filed under: Gossypium raimondii (Peruvian cotton)
Lineage: Eukaryota; Viridiplantae; Streptophyta; Magnoliopsida; Malvales; Malvaceae
Description: long non-coding RNA (GRAI_LNC009660)
Source: RNAcentral
UCAUAGAUCAAAGUAUAAGAUUGACAAAAGAGCGACAGAUCGUGUCCUAUCGAGCCAAAGGUUACUAGAUUCAACCAAUUACUACGCACCGAAUGACGUGACCUUUGGAGAGAUUCAUCAUCAUUCUACGACUCUGUCCAAGUAUUUUUUUCACCAUGCUUCACUUCAUUUAUUUAAUCAUUAAACAACAUCACAAAGCACAAACUCCGACACCCUCCAUAACUUUGUUCUCAUUUUUUAGGCCCCUCAAUCUUUGUGGCCCAAACCUCCCAUCCAUCUUCCUUCUAAGUUUUUGAAGUGAUUGU